RNAcentral lists this unclassified non-coding RNA (393 nucleotides) under uncultured fungus. Its description in RNAcentral is "partial contains 5.8S ribosomal RNA, internal transcribed spacer 2, and large subunit ribosomal RNA". The record is from RNAcentral. Lineage: Eukaryota; Fungi.
AACGCAUCUUGCACUAUUCGGCUUCCCCGGAUAGUAUGCCUGGUUGAGUGUCUGUGUAUCUCUCCUAAUCCAGUGUUUUUGUGAUGCUGGAAUAGGGACUUGGGGUCUCUUUUCUCGUCGGGAAUCAACUCUCAUUGAUACUCGGUGAACCCUUUAAAUAUAGUAAGCUCCCAUCUUUUUUGGAAAUACGCAAACUUGGGGAUGAUGGCGUCGUAGCAAUCUUUUGUAUUGUCGAAACGCCUAUCAAACAAACAACUCCUCUAAUCUGCGGUGCUAAUCCAUUCGAGAGUGGGCGAAGCUUGACGACUGGCAAAGUGCCAUGCUCUACUUAUACUAUUGGAGUACACGAACAACAAUGACCUCAACUCAGGUAGGACGACCCGCUGGACUUAA